Molecule: long non-coding RNA, 1395 nt
Organism: Podarcis raffonei (Aeolian wall lizard)
Lineage: Eukaryota; Metazoa; Chordata; Lepidosauria; Squamata; Lacertidae
Exons: 6
Source: RefSeq, a predicted model, not a curated record
GGCUUUGGGCGGAGCUCCGUUUAAAAAGCCGCGUGUCCCUGCCUCGCUCUUCCUUUUAUCCGCCACCCCAGCUCCCCCGCGCAACGGUAGCAGUAGCCAGCUCUCGUCCUACUCACAGUAGAUCCGCUGAAGUUAAGGGGCAUGACUUAGUUCAUUAAUUUCAGUGGGUCUGCUCAAAGUAGCCACAGAGACCAGUUGUGCUUUGACAACGUGACAUAUAACAGUUCAGAUAAAGCCAAAGGGAAAAAAGGUAACAGAACUCGGAAGCCGAAGUUGUGCGCCCUUCUAACACUCUAUCUCAUGGGCCCGAAUCGAAGGGGAGGGGGGAGAGGAGGAAGAAAAAAGGACAAGGAAGAGACUGGGGCAGAGAGCGGCACUAGUAAGGUGUCUGAGAAGAUGAAUGGUGUCCCCUGGCGGCUCCAGGGCGCUACUACAGCGGCGCAGUCGCCGGUUGAGCCUUGUUCUUCCCCGCUUCCCUGUUCAAAGCCAGAACUCGCCAGAACCCAGUUCUAGAACCUCUCAGGUGGGCGCUGUUGUCAUUAUAAGAGAACAAGGGAGGCGUACAUGAUUUGAGCUCUCCACUUCUCCAAAGCCAGACCAUAGCUCAGUGGUAGAGCACAUACAUACUUUGAGUGCAGAUGGACCCAGGUUCAAUCCCAAACAUCCUCUCCAUGUGAGGAGAGGGACAGACAAUCCUUUGAAACCCUGGAGGCUGUGGACAGCCCUCAGCUUCUGCGUUAUUAAACCCAAGCCACUGACCACAUAGCUGGGCUUCUCUUCAUUUGACAAGAAAGGAGGAUUUCUUCAUGCCUGCAAUUGAUUUCCACACUUCAAAUCAAAGAUUAUUCAAUCUUCCUCUAGAAAUCUGAUUUGCAGGAUUCCAAACGAGAUGACGAUGACACAACCGCUCCAGAUGUGUCUGUGGCUUUUAGGUGUGGGAGCGAGGCCAAGGGAAGUACCACUUUGGAUUUCUUUCAGCAGCAAAUCUUUUAAGAAAUCCCCAGACCUCUGUUAUGAAGGCAAACAGAAACUCCUGUGAGGCAGACCUGCCUGACAGCAACUUGGACAGUGCCCCCCCUCCCCGACCGCCACCAUGACUGCACCUCCCAGGCCCAGGUAAGUCCAACUAGAAACUACUCUCUUUCCUUCUGCCUAAUUUCUGUUUCUCUGCCCCCUUCCCUCAGCUAGAGUUGGGUUACUUUAUUCCAAAACACAAACUCUGAUGGGUAUCUUAUUCCAAAACACAGAGAGAUUCCUAACUAUCAAGAGGUGGUUUCUUAUCUGUUGGCUCUUGUUGAUGAGGCAUCAACCAACUGUCUUGGACUAUUAACAAUCUGCCUGACAAAGGGCUGGUCAGUUAGCAGCCAGAACAAUAUAGUAGUCAACGUUGAGUGA